This 73-nucleotide transfer RNA is filed under the name Dipodomys ordii (Ord's kangaroo rat). It matches the Rfam family "tRNA". From Rfam's summary of the family: Transfer RNA (tRNA) molecules are approximately 80 nucleotides in length. Their secondary structure includes four short double-helical elements and three loops (D, anti-codon, and T loops). Further hydrogen bonds mediate the characteristic L-shaped molecular structure. tRNAs have two regions of fundamental functional importance: the anti-codon, which is responsible for specific mRNA codon recognition, and the 3' end, to which the tRNAs corresponding amino acid is attached (by aminoacyl-tRNA synthetases). tRNAs cope with the degeneracy of the genetic code in two manners: having more than one tRNA (with a specific anti-codon) for a particular amino acid; and 'wobble' base-pairing, i.e. permitting non-standard base-pairing at the 3rd anti-codon position. Lineage: Eukaryota; Metazoa; Chordata; Mammalia; Rodentia; Heteromyidae. The record is from Rfam by way of RNAcentral.
GGGGGCAUGGCUCAAGUGGUAGAGCUCCUGCCUAGCAAGUGCAAGGCCCUGAGUUCAAAUCUCAGUACAGCCA